GACGAACGCUGGCGGCGUGCUUAACACAUGCGAGUCGAACGGAAAGGCCCUGCUUUUGUGGGGUGCUCGAGUGGCGAACGGGUGAGUAACACGUGAGUAACCUGCCCUUGACUUUGGGAUAACUUCAGGAAACUGGGGCUAAUACCGGAUAGGAGCUCCUGCUGCAUGGUGGGGGUUGGAAAGUUUCGGCGGUUGGGGAUGGACUCGCGGCUUAUCAGCUUGUUGGUGGGGUAGUGGCUUACCAAGGCUUUGACGGGUAGCCGGCCUGAGAGGGUGACCGGCGACAAUGGGACUAAGAUACGGCGCAGACUCCUACGGGAGGCAGCAGUGGGGAAUAUUACACAAUGGGCGGAAGCCUGAUGCAGCAACGCCGCGUGCGGGAUGACGGGCUUCGGGUUGUAAACCGCUUUCGCCUGUGACGAAGCGUGAGUGACGGUAAUGGGUAAAGAAGCACCGGCUAACUACGUG
This 468-nucleotide ribosomal RNA is filed under the name uncultured bacterium. Its description in RNAcentral is "partial 16S ribosomal RNA". It matches the Rfam family "Bacterial small subunit ribosomal RNA", at positions 28 to 507 of the family's 1533-position model. The record is from RNAcentral.